AGAGUUUGAUCCUGGCUCAGAUUGAACGCUGGCGGCAUGCCUUACACAUGCAAGUCGAACGGCAGCGGACCUUCGGGUGCCGGCGAGUGGCGAACGGGUGAGUAAUGUAUCGGAACGUACCUUUCAGUGGGGGAUAACGUAGCGAAAGUUACGCUAAUACCGCAUAUUCUGUGAGCAGGAAAGCAGGGGAUCGCAAGACCUUGCGCUGAUUGAGCGGCCGAUAUCAGAUUAGCUAGUUGGUGAGGUAAAGGCUCACCAAGGCGACGAUCUGUAGCGGGUCUGAGAGGAUGAUCCGCCACACUGGAACUGAGACACGGUCCAGACUCCUACGGGAGGCAGCAGUGGGGAAUUUUGGACAAUGGGGGCAACCCUGAUCCAGCCAUGCCGCGUGAGUGAAGAAGGCCUUCGGGUUGUAAAGCUCUUUCGGCC
This 429-nucleotide ribosomal RNA is filed under the name uncultured bacterium. Its description in RNAcentral is "bacterial SSU rRNA". It matches the Rfam family "Bacterial small subunit ribosomal RNA", at positions 8 to 441 of the family's 1533-position model. The record is from RNAcentral.